Molecule: long non-coding RNA, 231 nt
Filed under: Manihot esculenta (cassava)
Lineage: Eukaryota; Viridiplantae; Streptophyta; Magnoliopsida; Malpighiales; Euphorbiaceae
Description: long non-coding RNA (MESC_LNC003976)
Source: RNAcentral
UCGUGAGGAGCUCGGAACCACAAUUGGAGAAAUGCUGCUGAUGGUAAGUUAUGUUUUUACCUGUCUUUUGAGUUUGCUUUGUGCCUUUUCUUGACAAUUGUUCUGCCGUCCUAGGUGUUAGGCCUGGUUAUGGAGGUGGAUGCCCGUGAUCGCUCUCUCCGGGAGUCCGUGGACCGCCGGAUCGAGGAAGCGCGUCGUGAUGAGAACCUGACUGCCACCAGCGACGCGAGG